UGAUCCUGGCUCAGGAUGAACGCUGGCGGCGUGCCUAAUACAUGCAAGUCGAGCGAACAGAUAAGGAGCUUGCUCCUUUGAAGUUAGCGGCGGACGGGUGAGUAACACGUGGGUAACCUACCUAUAAGACUGGAAUAACUUCGGGAAACCGGAGCUAAUGCCGGAUAACAUUUGGAACCGCAUGGUUCUAAAGUAAAAGAUGGUUUUGCUAUCACUUAUAGAUGGACCCGCGCCGUAUUAGCUAGUUGGUAAGGUAACGGCUUACCAAGGCAACGAUACGUAGCCGACCUGAGAGGGUGAUCGGCCACACUGGAACUGAGACACGGUCCAGACUCCUACGGGAGGCAGCAGUAGGGAAUCUUCCGCAAUGGACGAAAGUCUGACGGAGCAACGCCGCGUGAGUGAUGAAGUUUUCGGAUCGUAAAACUCUGUUAUUAGGGAAGAACAAAUGUGUAAGUAACUGUGCACAUCUUGACGGUACCUAAUCAGAAAGCCACGGCUAA
RNAcentral lists this ribosomal RNA (503 nucleotides) under Staphylococcus sp. B2_6_cr. Its description in RNAcentral is "bacterial SSU rRNA". It matches the Rfam family "Bacterial small subunit ribosomal RNA", at positions 14 to 500 of the family's 1533-position model. The record is from RNAcentral. Lineage: Bacteria; Bacillati; Bacillota; Bacilli; Caryophanales; Staphylococcaceae.